UUGCUUAAGUCAUAUUUUUAGAUUUACUUUUGUUGGGUAUGUAAUAUUAGUAAAACUAAACUCAAAUUAAAAAUGAUAAAUCCUCUCUAAUCAGCUUUUAUUACUCUCUUUCUCCUUUUAGAAACCCUUGUAUUGUAUCCCUUGAGGUUGUCGGUGUGAUCGACCUGAAGCAGAUCGUCAUUCGGUUUUCUGUUUGCUUUUUCAUUUCUUCCUUUUGCUUCCGGCAGAAUAAUGUCUGAAACUUGCCUCCUCUCUUUCUUCGACCACCUUGCAAGGGUUCCUUACCUCUUCCACUCGGAACAUCAAGAUUGGCCACCCUAUCCCUCUGUUUGUUUGUUUGGAUUGCUAUCUCUUCGGUUCUCUGUUGAUUGGAGCUCGAUGGAGCUCAGGAUUCGACGCACUAGCCUAUUCAACUGGUGGUUGAAGCCGCUUUGAUGGCCACGGGUUCUUCCUUCAUUGUCGGUUUCGUUCUGCUCCUUAGAGAUUGAUGGUUUUUUUUUUUGGGGUUGUCACAGCAUGGUCUCUCUCCAAAGGUGUUACAUGCCAACGAGAAGUACAUCUGUUGCCUUUGCCUUCAGCUACUUCGACGUUCCUUGGCGCUCUCCCCAAUGAUGGCAAAACAAUGGUGUUCUACAGGCUAUAGUUGGGUUUCUCUGGCCCAUUUUCAGCCCAUGGGCUUUUUUGUGUAUUUCUGGUUUUUUUUUACAUGAUCUAUUUCUUAAUGAAAAAUAGAUGUUUGGUAUAAGAUACAUGUAAACUUAGGGUGUUGGCGUAAUCAGUUUACGUCAUUGACCAUUUUAACUCUAUGUUAGUUAUAUAAGAGAUAUAUGCAAACAAUAAACAUCAAAUACAGAAAAAAAAAAAAAGCUUGCUGUGGAACUUAGUUUAAGGACAAAAAGCUAAAUGAGAUCCAAAAGUAUACAUCAUUUAUAUGUUGCGAUCUAAUGCCUUUACUUUAUUGUUUCGUCCUAAUGUAUUUGUAAAUUUUCGAACAGUUUAGUUUAAUAAAAUUUCAUUAUUCAUGUU
This 1026-nucleotide long non-coding RNA is filed under the name Gossypium barbadense (sea-island cotton). Its description in RNAcentral is "long non-coding RNA (GBAR_LNC007761)". Lineage: Eukaryota; Viridiplantae; Streptophyta; Magnoliopsida; Malvales; Malvaceae. The record is from RNAcentral.